UUUCAUUUCUAAAGUUACUUUAUAAAACAAUUAUGUUUGUUUCCAUUAUAUCUGUAACAAAUGUUGGAAUUUAUAUAUUGAAAAAUUAUCCACUGAUUCUCGAUUAAAAUAGGAAGUUUAACGCGUUUACGAUUGGAGAAGAAAUGAAGUUACAAACCGAUUUCUUCAAAAUCUAGUAUUAAGAACAAAUGUCAUCUAAGAGUGCGCUGAAAGUUAUUUAAAUGUUGCAUUUGCGUAUAUUGGUAAUACGGGUGCUCCCGAUUUAAUGUGUUUCGUGUAAUAAAACACUAGCGAACAGUUCUUUGGUCCCGGUUAACUUGGUAGACACUUGGAACGAAACACGCCGUUUACGAAGGAAAAUCCUGCCCUACCCGACAGUCUCGCCAAUACAUAAAAGAAUUGUUUUGUCAGAAAAGUAAAAGGCUGGAAUUACAAGGGAGAGCUUCAAAGUUCGGAGGAAUACUAUCCGAUCGGUGUAUACCGGCUUGAGCGUCGAUGUCGACGUUUUCCACAUUCCGAAUUGUUGCCGGAAGACGAGGGAAGACCAAUCGCUAUUCAUUAUUUUACGUCGCUUCUUCUCGUGUUCGUUGUCCGAUCUGUUCGUUAUCCGAUCCGUUCGCUAACCGAUCACCCACUGUAUAUACUGUACUGUACAUUUGUUAAUGAGACGGCGCGACUGGAUACAGAUUCAGAAAACAUCGAAGCCAUUAAGAAGGUAAUUUUACCUCAUAUAUACGCUAGUUUAUUUUGCUAUUUUUGUGUUUUGCUUUAAAUAAUUAACAUUUGAGAAUAAAUAUUUGGUUUUUCUUAACGCUUAGAUUUUCUUAUUUAUUUUAUUUCUACCUUCGUGUACUGUACAAAACGGACAAGGUGUUCGAAUUUAUCGAGUGUUCCAUCGUAGGAAAAGUUUGCGAAACGCCGAUAUAGACUGCCUCCGUUCCUCAAACUCCACACGUAAGUAAUCGACAGUCCCCUAACAAAUCGGUGACGGACACUAAAAAUUGAUACUUGUGUUUGUAUUUGUGUAAAAUCAACCCCUUCCGCCCUGGUAAACAGUCCUCAAACGCCAAUGGCAUACAUAGCCUAUAUAUGUAUAAUGUGUGUGUGGGUGGAUGUAUUAAUAUAUAAAAAGAAGAUAGAUUGGAUAAUAUAAAAUUAAGUACAGUAUAGGAAAACUAGAAUAUAUUAAAGUAUAAAUAUUUAAAAGAGAAAAUGAAUUUAGUUACUUGGAAAUUAUAACAGAUAGAAAGGUGGAUUAUUUUGUUAUAAAAUUUCCUAGGCAUUAGCCUAGUUGCGGUUUAAAUUUAUUGCAUCGACGUUAGAGCCAAGGGUUUAAUUAUUUGCCGAUAUACUGUAUUAAAAAGCUGGAAAUUAAUCUCGAGCCUUUUUUAAUAUUUAUUCAUCGAAACGAUGGCCUUAAUUAUGCGAGAUAAAGUCAAGACUGGUCUUAAGUAACAAACGGUAACGGAUAUUCGAUUGUUAAUGAAUUCUUCCGACGAAAUGUUUUAGUAAAAAUAAUUAAUAAUUCAUAAGAAAAUAAUUCCAAUUCUGCUCGGUGUAAAGGAUAAAUUUCUAACGAAUCUUAUCGUUACGUCGAGAUAAUAAUUAAUAAAAUGCAAUGGAAAUUUGUAAUUUAUUACUUUCCGAUACGGCCCCGAACACGUAAUUUUAUGUAUUUUAAUUGGGAAACAUAAUUUACGUUUAUUAUUUUCUUGGAAGUAAGGUUUUUAAAGGCGAUAUUACUAUAUGCAAAAACGUUUGGAUAAAGCGACAACUUAAAUACUCGACGAUAUUAUUAGUAAUAGCCUUAUUACGAGACAGAAUUUGAUGGGGAAGAGAGCCGGUCUGGUGUCACAACCAGCAAUUUGAGUAGAUUUAGGCCCAUACGUCACAGUGUCAGUACCAUUGGUGGGAUACGCAAUCCCACUAAAUGAUCAUAUAUUACCGUAAAAACUGUGUUUAAAUAUCUCGUUCCUUUAAGAAAACUUAAUUUACAAAGUGGUCGAGUUGGCAAUUAAAUGUUUGAGUAAUCCUCGGCAUAAAUUGUCAAAUAAAAAUUUCAAAAAGUGCGACUUUGGCUUUCGUCUAAUUAACAUAACCCGAAAUUUGAAAAAGAAAUUGUCGUCUUUUGUUUUUGCCCGAAACAAAAUUGAAGAAGGAGUUUAUCCUUUUUUAAAAAACAAAUGUAAAAAGUUUCUGCUUUGGCACUAAUCCUCUUUAAUAUUUAUAUAUUUUAUUAAAAAUAUAAAAUGUAUAAACUCGUACGAUCGAAACGUGUGAUCAUAAUUUAUUUUCGCCAGGAAAAUAUACGUGUAUCGUAAUUAAUAAUAAGGUUAGAAUAGGGAAAUUUCUGUCGAAAUUAAUAAGGAAAUUUACGCCGAAAUGAUAACAUUUUUAACUCAUAAAUUUAAAUUUCGAAACUGUUAUCCUUGAGCCUUUCGUUAUAUUUUCGGCCAUCGUCAUAUACGACUGUCACGUCUUUUGUUUUGACAAUACAUUAUCUGGUUGGAUAUCCGUCCAUCCGCGGUAUCCUGUUUUCUUACUUCUAUCCCAAGAAUAGCCAAAGUAAAAGAUAAGCGCAUCCAUUAUAUACUUUGACAUCUAUUUUAUUUCCUCUAAGGAAUACGCAGAAAAAUUAAAAUAUAACAUAAUUAAAAGUACCAAAAAAAUAUUUAAAGGGCCCGCCGGUGCACAUAUAAGCUAAUGAAGCUAGGGCUUAGGGCCUCGUUUUAUUCUCAAAGCAGUUUAUUCGGCCGAGAAGGAGGAGUUUCUUGCGCGUUGUCGGCAUAGGGCCGUAACAAUUCUAAAUUCGGCUCUGGAUCCACCAUUAUUAUAUGAUAUUGUUAGGAAUUUUUAUUUAGUUUCGGCACAACCGGGGAUAAGAUAAUGGCCUUAGCUUUGAUUAAGCGAAGGAGGCCUCGAUUUAUGCUGGCUUUUUGUCAUAAAGACAUUGAGGAAUGCGAAACUUAUCAUUUUAAAAAGAUCUCAUUAUACGCCGAGAGGGGUUAAGUUUUGCGUUACAAUUUGGGUAGGCGCACGAGCUUAUUAUAAAGAUAAAUUUAAUGCAUCAACGUACUGGACGGAUGCUUUUAAAGAAAUAUUUAAUAAUAAUCUAUUUACGAUCCAAUUUUCUUGGCAAUCGUCAUCGUUUCUGCCAAUCCGCACGCCGAUGAAUAGAAAAAAACACGUUCAAAUAUUGUAAAAUAUUAAGAAGGACAUUGACCAGGCUUCUUCGACUCCAUUUACGACCCCCAUUUACGUGUAAUUACGUAACCAACGUCUUCAGAAUUUAACAGGAAAUUUAAAAAAUGCAAAAAAUUCUUUCUUAACUCGAUUUUCGAAUUGCAUUUUCACCGUGACACCAACAUACUUAAGCCAGGUACCGUUGGAAUUUUGCUGCUUUCCUCGUCAA
This 3412-nucleotide long non-coding RNA is filed under the name Centruroides sculpturatus (bark scorpion). Its description in RNAcentral is "uncharacterized LOC111636929". The record is from RNAcentral. Lineage: Eukaryota; Metazoa; Arthropoda; Arachnida; Scorpiones; Buthidae.